This 809-nucleotide ribosomal RNA is filed under the name Hepatozoon felis. RNAcentral describes it as "bacterial SSU rRNA". It matches the Rfam family "Eukaryotic small subunit ribosomal RNA", at positions 188 to 984 of the family's 1831-position model. Lineage: Eukaryota; Apicomplexa; Hepatozoidae. The record is from RNAcentral.
UAUUUUGGAAGAGAUGCAUUUAUUAGAUAAAAAACCAAUACAUACUUUUUCAAGUAUGAAAUUUGGUGAUUUACAAUAACUUAGCAAAUCGCAUAGUGAAAACAGGCGAUAAAUCAUUCAAGUUUCUGACCUAUCAGCUUUCGACGGUAUGGUAUUGGCUUACCGUGGCAGUGACGGUUAACGGGGGAUUAGGGUUCGAUUCCGGAGAGGGAGCCUGAGAAACGGCUACCACAUCUAAGGAAGGCAGCAGGCGCGCAAAUUACCCAAUUCUAACAGCAUAAGAGAGGUAGUGACAAGAAAUAACAAUACAAGGCAGUUAAAAUGCUUUGUAAUUGGAAUGAUAGAAAUUUAAACACUUUUUAAAGUAUCAAUUGGAGGGCAAGUCUGGUGCCAGCAGCCGCGGUAAUUCCAGCUCCAAUAGCGUAUAUUAAAAUUGUUGCAGUUAAAAAGCUCGUAGUUGAAUUUCUGUUAAAAAUAACCGGUCUGCUUUUAAUAAAAGUGGUAUCUUGGUGUGUUUUUAGCAAUAAUGUCCUUUGAAGUGUUUUUUACUUUAUCGUAAUAAAUAAUAUUCAGGAUUUUUACUUUGAGAAAAUUAGAGUGUUUCUAGCAGGCUAACGCUUUGAAUACUGCAGCAUGGAAUAAUAAAAUAGGAUUUUAGUACUACAUUAUUGGUUUUAAGAACUAAAUUAAUGAUUGAUAGGGACAGUUGGGGGCAUUUGUAUUUAACUGUCAGAGGUGAAAUUCUUAGAUUUGUUAAAGACAAACUACUGCGAAAGCAUUUGCCAAAGAUGUUUUCAUUAAUCAAGAUC